RNAcentral lists this ribosomal RNA (252 nucleotides) under uncultured bacterium. RNAcentral describes it as "partial 16S ribosomal RNA". It matches the Rfam family "Bacterial small subunit ribosomal RNA", at positions 525 to 776 of the family's 1533-position model. The record is from RNAcentral.
ACGGAGGGGGCAAGCGUUGUUCGGAAUUACUGGGCGUAAAGGGCACGUAGGCGGCCCGUUUAGUCAGAGGUGAAAUCCCCGAGCUCAACUUGGGAACUGCCUUUGAUACUAGCGGGCUUGAGUCCGGGAGAGGAUAGUGGAAUUCCCAGUGUAGAGGUGAAAUUCGUAGAUAUUGGGAAGAACACCAGUGGCGAAGGCGGCUAUCUGGACCGGUACUGACGCUGAGGUGCGAAAGCGUGGGGAGCAAACAGG